GGGAAUACCCGUACAGUUCGUGAAAUCGCGACGAUCUCUCAGUCGCAUUCUGCCACUUUUGUGUUUAUAUGUGAGACCAGACAAAAAGCAGAUAAGAUGAAGAGAAUCCGUGGUAGACUCGGACUAAAGGGUUUUGAAGGAGUGGAUAGCAACGGCUUGAGUGGUGGUUUAGCGCUGUACUGGCAUGAAACAUGUGUGGUUGAUAUUUUAGAUAAGGAUGAUCGGUUCAUCGAUGCCUUGGUGCGAGUUAAUCCCGAUGCUGGGCAGUGGAGGCUGACUUGUGUAUAUGGUGAGCCACGUUUUGAACAAGACACGCGAUGUGGACAUAUAGAAGAGUGUGUGCGAUCUACCAUGGUUGGUUGUCGGUGA
Molecule: ribosomal RNA, 369 nt
Filed under: Triticum aestivum (bread wheat)
Lineage: Eukaryota; Viridiplantae; Streptophyta; Magnoliopsida; Poales; Poaceae
Description: partial small subunit ribosomal RNA
Source: RNAcentral